RNAcentral lists this signal recognition particle RNA (96 nucleotides) under Bacteroidia bacterium. RNAcentral's name for it is "signal recognition particle sRNA small type". It matches the Rfam family "Bacteroidales small SRP", at positions 10 to 101 of the family's 107-position model. From Rfam's summary of the family: The non-coding component of the signal recognition particle in Bacteroides Lineage: Bacteria; Pseudomonadati; Bacteroidota; Bacteroidia. The record is from RNAcentral.
CGUGAGCGCCAUAUGGCCAGCUCCUCCUGAACUCCCCCAGGGUGGAAACGCAGCAAGGGUAGGGGGUUGUAGCGGUCGAUGUGGUCGCUCACUUAU